RNAcentral lists this ribosomal RNA (429 nucleotides) under Bacteroidota bacterium. Its description in RNAcentral is "Bacteroidetes bacterium partial 16S ribosomal RNA". It matches the Rfam family "Bacterial small subunit ribosomal RNA", at positions 355 to 776 of the family's 1533-position model. Lineage: Bacteria; Pseudomonadati; Bacteroidota. The record is from RNAcentral.
UAGGGAAUCUUCCGCAAUGGGCGAAAGCCUGACGGAGCAACGCCGCGUGAGUGAUGAAGGUCUUCGGAUCGUAAAACUCUGUUAUUAGGGAAGAACAAAUGUGUAAGUAACUAUGCACAUCUUGACGGUACCUAAUCAGAAAGCCACGGCUAACUACGUGCCAGCAGCCGCGGUAAUACGUAGGUGGCAAGCGUUAUCCGGAAUUAUUGGGCGUAAAGCGCGCGUAGGCGGUCAAUUAAGUCUGAUGUGAAAGCCCCCGGCUCAACCGGGGAGGGUCAUUGGAAACUGGUUGACUUGAGUGCAGAAGGGGAGAGUGGAAUUCCAUGUGUAGCGGUGAAAUGCGUAGAUAUAUGGAGGAACACCGGUGGCGAAAGCGGCUCUCUGGUCUGUAACUGACGCUGAGGCUCGAAAGCGUGGGGAGCGAACAGG